This 419-nucleotide small RNA is filed under the name Pan troglodytes (chimpanzee). RNAcentral describes it as "processed transcript". The record is from RNAcentral. Lineage: Eukaryota; Metazoa; Chordata; Mammalia; Primates; Hominidae.
GAUGUAUGUGACCGCCUCCUUGAGGUCGGACGGGUCCCCGAAAGGCUGCAGCCGGGGGCUGACCAGUGGGCAACCGUGGUGGCCGCGGCGAUGGAAGAUGACCGGGUAGUAGCCGCGCUCCAGGGCGAGCAAGCAAAGGCCGAGCACGUUGCGGGUGAGGCGACCCCACGCAUUGGGGAUCACCAGAAGCACCGCAGGAAGGCCCCCGGCGCUGGUGAUACGGCGGCCCCGAACACAAGGUCCCACCACCCAGUCCAGGGCCACUAGCCCAUCGUCCGCCAACUGCAGACCCUGGGCGCUGCGCCCUCAGAGGCCGAUGAAAAGAAGCAGAAGGGAGAGGUGAGUAAGUCGCAGCUCCGGGCGCCGGCUCCCGGGGCCCCGUGGGGCGGCGGCAGCGCGCGCGCUCUGCCCUCGGGCGG